This 396-nucleotide ribosomal RNA is filed under the name uncultured bacterium. Its description in RNAcentral is "bacterial SSU rRNA". It matches the Rfam family "Bacterial small subunit ribosomal RNA", at positions 29 to 424 of the family's 1533-position model. The record is from RNAcentral.
AUUGAACGCUGGCGGCAUGCCUUACACAUGCAAGUCGAACGGCAGCACGGGAGCAAUCCUGGUGGCGAGUGGCGAACGGGUGAGUAAUAUAUCGGAACGUGCCCAGUAGUGGGGGAUAGCCCGGCGAAAGCCGGAUUAAUACCGCAUACGACCUGUGGGUGAAAGCGGGGGAUCGCAAGACCUCGCGCUAUUGGAGCGGCCGAUAUCAGAUUAGCUUGUUGGUGGGGUAAAAGCCCACCAAGGCGACGAUCUGUAGCUGGUCUGAGAGGACGACCAGCCACACUGGGACUGAGACACGGCCCAGACUCCUACGGGAGGCAGCAGUGGGGAAUUUUGGACAAAUGGGGCGCAAGCCUGAUCCAGCCAUGCCGCGUGAGUGAAGAAGGCCCUUGGGUU